GUCUAUGUGAAGUUAUAUAAAGUCUAACCUGCCCGUUGAAAUAAUUUGAAAGGCCGCAGUAUCCUAACUGUGCAAAGGUAGCAUAAUCAUUAGUUUUUUAAUUGAAGGCUUGUAUGAAGGGUUGGACAAAGAGAAAGCUGUCUCUUUAUUUUUUUUUGAAAUUAACUUUUAAGUGAAAAGGCUUAAAUUAAAUUAAGGGACGAUAAGACCCUAUAAAUCUUUAUUUUUAUUUUUUUUUAUCGAAAUUAAAUUUAGUUAAUAUCAAUUAAAAUUAAAUAAUAUUUUGUUGGGGCGACAAGAAUAUAAUUAGUAAAACUGUUCUAAUUAAAAAACAAAUAUUUUUGAUUUAAGUAAAAGAUCCUUUUUUAAGAUUAAAAGAUUAAGUUACUUUAGGGAUAACAGCGUUAUUUUUUUUGAGAGUUCUUAUCGAAAAAAAAGUUUGCGACCUCGAUGUUGAAUUAAAAUUUCCCUAUGGUGUAGAAGUUAUAGAGAGAAAGUCUGUUCGACUUUUAAAAUUUU
Molecule: ribosomal RNA, 519 nt
Filed under: Heteronida aspinirostris
Lineage: Eukaryota; Metazoa; Arthropoda; Malacostraca; Decapoda; Munididae
Description: partial 16S ribosomal RNA
Rfam family: Bacterial large subunit ribosomal RNA
Source: RNAcentral